CCUCCUCACCAGGGCUGGCUUUGUGGUCUGUUUUGCCUGAGGAAUGACUCAGCAAUGAUGUAUAGUCCUUUUUUUUUAAAUUAACUCUUUCAGUGCUGGGCAGUCAAGCCAGGGCCUUACACUCACUACAGAGAUGCUUGGUGCUGAGCUACAAUGCCUGGCCCUGACAUGGGGAACUUCUAAGAGGACGUUUUCAAAGGACCAGUUUUGUUGAAGUAUGACUAACAGAUAAAAAACGUGUUUGUCUAAGCCGUCCUCACCAAUAAUGCUUGUAAGAAACAAUUGCUCACCUUUCAGACAUGAAUGUCUCCUCCUCUGCGUGCCUUCGCCUUGAUUAGAAGCAGCUGGCUUACACGGUUUGGCAAUGG
Mesocricetus auratus (golden hamster) is the source of this 368-nucleotide long non-coding RNA. RefSeq lists it as uncharacterized. The record is from RefSeq and is a predicted model, not a curated record. Lineage: Eukaryota; Metazoa; Chordata; Mammalia; Rodentia; Cricetidae. The transcript has 3 exons.